Molecule: ribosomal RNA, 496 nt
Filed under: uncultured bacterium
Lineage: Bacteria
Description: partial 16S ribosomal RNA
Rfam family: Bacterial small subunit ribosomal RNA
Source: RNAcentral
AUGAACGCUGGCGGCGUGCCUAAUACAUGCAAGUCGAGCGAACGGACGAGAAGCUUGCUUCUCUGAUGUUAGCGGCGGACGGGUGAGUAACACGUGGAUAACCUACCUAUAAGCCUGGGAUAACUUCGGGAAACCGGAGCUAAUACCGGAUAAUAUUUUGAACCGCAUGGUUCAAAAGUGAAAGACGGUCUUGCUGUCACUUAUAGAUGGAUCCGCGCUGCAUUAGCUAGUUGGUAAGGUAACGGCUUACCAAGGCAACGAUGCAUAGCCGACCUGAGAGGGUGAUCGGCCACACUGGAACUGAGACACGGUCCAGACUCCUACGGGAGGCAGCAGUAGGGAAUCUUCCGCAAAGGGCGAAAGCCUGACGGAGCAACGCCGCGUGAGUGAUGAAGGUCUUCGGAUCGUAAAACUCUGUUAUUAGGGAAGAACAUAUGUGUAAGUAACUGUGCACAUCUUGACGGUACCUAAUCAGAAAGCCACGGCUAACUACGUG